UGAUAGCUGUGAAGCGUGAAGUUGCUGCCGACAGGGCAGGUUCUCCGUGGAGCGAAUGUCAAGUUAGAAACUGGCGACAA
Molecule: non-coding RNA, 80 nt
Filed under: uncultured Clostridium sp.
Lineage: Bacteria; Bacillati; Bacillota; Clostridia; Eubacteriales; Clostridiaceae
Description: S10-Clostridia ribosomal protein leader
Rfam family: S10-Clostridia ribosomal protein leader
Source: RNAcentral